UACGUAGGGUGCGAGCGUUGUCCGGAAUUAUUGGGCGUAAAGAGCUCGUAGGCGGUGUGUCACGUCGGCCGUGAAAACCUGGGGCUCAACUCUGGGCGUGCGGUCGAUACGGGCAUCACUAGAGUUCGGCAGGGGAGACUGGAAUUCCUGGUGUAGCGGUGAAAUGCGCAGAUAUCAGGAGGAACACCGGUGGCGAAGGCGGGUCUCUGGGCCGAUACUGACGCUGAGGAGCGAAAGCAUGGGGAGCGAACAGG
This 254-nucleotide non-coding RNA is filed under the name uncultured bacterium. RNAcentral describes it as "partial 16S ribosomal RNA". It matches the Rfam family "Bacterial small subunit ribosomal RNA", at positions 524 to 776 of the family's 1533-position model. The record is from RNAcentral. RNAcentral also lists the same sequence under 1 other name.